GCGUGGAGACAGGUGGUGCAUGGCUGUCGUCAGCUCGUGUCGUGAGAUGUUGGGUUAAGUCCCGCAACGAGCGCAACCCUCGCCCCUGGUUGCCACCGGGUAAAGCCGAGCACUCGAGGGGAACUGCCAGCGUCAAGCUGGAGGAAGGCGGGGAUGACGUCAAGUCAUCAUGCCCCUUACGCCCUGGGCUACACACGUGCUACAAUGGCCGGUACAAAGGGACGCGAGACCGCGAGGUGGAGCUAAUCCCAAAAAACCGGGUCUAAGUUCAGAUUGCAGUCUGCAACUCGACUGCAUGAAGGAGGAAUCGCUAGUAAUCGCGCAUCAGCACGGCGCGGUGAAUACGUUCCCGGGCCUUGUACACACCGCCCGUCACACCACGAAAGCUGUCUGUACUCGAAGUCGCUGAG
This 410-nucleotide ribosomal RNA is filed under the name uncultured Methylomirabilota bacterium. RNAcentral's name for it is "bacterial SSU rRNA". It matches the Rfam family "Bacterial small subunit ribosomal RNA", at positions 1026 to 1434 of the family's 1533-position model. Lineage: Bacteria; Methylomirabilota (SeqCode). The record is from RNAcentral.